ACCUCCGUGGCGCAAUCGACUAGCGCGUUCGGCUGUUAACCGAAAGGUUGGUGUUCGAGCCACCAGGAGGCG
This 72-nucleotide transfer RNA is filed under the name Trichonephila clavata. It matches the Rfam family "tRNA". From Rfam's summary of the family: Transfer RNA (tRNA) molecules are approximately 80 nucleotides in length. Their secondary structure includes four short double-helical elements and three loops (D, anti-codon, and T loops). Further hydrogen bonds mediate the characteristic L-shaped molecular structure. tRNAs have two regions of fundamental functional importance: the anti-codon, which is responsible for specific mRNA codon recognition, and the 3' end, to which the tRNAs corresponding amino acid is attached (by aminoacyl-tRNA synthetases). tRNAs cope with the degeneracy of the genetic code in two manners: having more than one tRNA (with a specific anti-codon) for a particular amino acid; and 'wobble' base-pairing, i.e. permitting non-standard base-pairing at the 3rd anti-codon position. Lineage: Eukaryota; Metazoa; Arthropoda; Arachnida; Araneae; Nephilidae. The record is from Rfam by way of RNAcentral.